Otolemur garnettii (small-eared galago) is the source of this 138-nucleotide small nuclear RNA. Its record names the gene U4. It matches the Rfam family "U4 spliceosomal RNA". From Rfam's summary of the family: U4 small nuclear RNA (U4 snRNA) is a component of the major U2-dependent spliceosome. The structure of U4 snRNA from yeast and human has been reported. The record is from Ensembl. Lineage: Eukaryota; Metazoa; Chordata; Mammalia; Primates; Galagidae.
AGCUUUGAGCAGUGGCAGUAUCGUAGCCAAUGAGGUUUAUUUGAGGCGCAAAUACUCCUAAUUGAAAACUUCUCCCAAUACCCCACCAUAACAAUUUGCAAUAUAGUUGGCACUAGCACUUUUUUUUUUAGAGACAAA